RNAcentral lists this ribosomal RNA (416 nucleotides) under uncultured bacterium. RNAcentral's name for it is "bacterial SSU rRNA". It matches the Rfam family "Bacterial small subunit ribosomal RNA", at positions 954 to 1370 of the family's 1533-position model. The record is from RNAcentral.
GCACAACGCGAAGAACCUUACCAGGCCUUGACAUGCAGAGAACUUUCCAGAGAUGGAUUGGUGCCUUCGGGAACUCUGACACAGGUGCUGCAUGGCUGUCGUCAGCUCGUGUUGUGAAAUGUUGGGUUAAGUCCCGCAACGAGCGCAACCCUUAUCCUUUGUUGCCAGCGGCUAGGCCGGGAACUCAAAGGAGACUGCCAGUGAUAAACUGGAGGAAGGUGGGGAUGACGUCAAGUCAUCAUGGCCCUUACGGCCUGGGCUACACACGUGCUACAAUGGUCGGUACAGAGGGUUGCCAAGCCGCGAGGUGGAGCUAAUCUCACAAAACCGAUCGUAGUCCGGAUCGCAGUCUGCAACUCGACUGCGUGAAGUCGGAAUCGCUAGUAAUCGUGGAUCAGAAUGUCACGGUGAAUACG